AUGGCAAAAUUCUGGUGGGCGAGUUCCAUUGACAGAAGAUCACUCCAUUGGACCUCAUGGGACAAGCUUGCAACACCAAAGUGUAAUGGCGGUAUGGGAUUCCAUGAUCUACGGAUUUUUAACUUGGCAUUGUUAGGAAAGCAUGGAUGGCGCUUCAUGAUAAAUCCUAAUUCCUUGUGUGCCAGGGUAAUGAAAGGGAGAUAUUUUCCUGACACCGACUUCAUGCAUGCCUCGGUACCCAAAUCCUCCUCGGCGACUUGGAGAGCUAUUGUGGCAGGC
This 279-nucleotide ribosomal RNA is filed under the name Triticum aestivum (bread wheat). RNAcentral's name for it is "partial small subunit ribosomal RNA". The record is from RNAcentral. Lineage: Eukaryota; Viridiplantae; Streptophyta; Magnoliopsida; Poales; Poaceae.